Drosophila willistoni is the source of this 470-nucleotide long non-coding RNA. RefSeq lists it as uncharacterized. The transcript is spliced from 2 exons. Lineage: Eukaryota; Metazoa; Arthropoda; Insecta; Diptera; Drosophilidae. The record is from RefSeq and is a predicted model, not a curated record.
CAAACUCUCUCUCACUCACUCACUCACAGAAGCAUACACACACACUCACGAAGGCGACGCUUUUUCUGUCUGUAUACAUACAUAUAUGUGAGCAUACUUGUUUUACUUUGCAUUUCCAUUUUCACAUAACAAAAAGGCAAAAAAAAAAAUUGUACUAAACACUCGCUUGCACUCUGUUUUGUUCAUAUUUUUAGAAUUUUGGUAUUUUUAAACAUUUUUUACAUCCUUUGGUACACACACACACGAACACAAAAACACACUGGGACGCACAAACAUACUUUUUGCUGAACCUGCGCCAACAUAUUGCAAGGCUGCAAAGAAAAAAAAGAUUGUUGUUUUUUCACUUCUGCACUUAGUAGUACUAACAAUUAUCGAACGAGCUAGCGAGCGGGAGCAGCGGAUUGAUGGGCAAAUAAGAAAAAUAAAAAACGCUGUGCGCGUUGUGCGCUGCACGAAGGACGAAAAUGAAA